Molecule: long non-coding RNA, 4781 nt
Organism: Meleagris gallopavo (turkey)
Lineage: Eukaryota; Metazoa; Chordata; Aves; Galliformes; Phasianidae
Source: RefSeq, a predicted model, not a curated record
UAGUGCGAAGAGUGAUAGAGCAAGGAAUUAGUAAGUUAAUUCAGACAAUUGCAUUGUCCAGUCUGGAGAAAAGGAGCCUAAGUGACCUCAUUGCUCUCUGCAGCCUUAUGAGGAGGAGAAGCAUAGAGGAUGGUGCCAGGCUCUGCUUCUGGGAAAUGACGCAAACUGAAUACCUGAGUAUGGGAAACACGUGAAUCCUGGCAUAGCAUUGCUUUUGAUUAGGACUGGAAGCCUGAAAGCCUAAACAAAGAAAAUACAUCAAAAGGGGGAUAUGAAGCAGAGGAAAGCUUUAAGAGAAAGGUAGACUCAUAUCCUUACAGACGCUGUGAAAUCUAGUCUGCAUUGAAUUACCUGUUCCUUUUAUGUAACCUAUCUUCAACUUCACUGAAAUGCGUCAUUGUACCACAACAAGACCACCUACAAAUGGCAGUGAGAUGGAGGUAGAGCUUUAUCUGGCCUCGGAGGGUAUGAAGUAAGGAACCAUGAGAACCACCCACUAAGGCAGCCAGUCUCUCUUCUGGUUUCAAUGAUUUGAAAUUUAAAUGACUUGGAUAUUGCUUCAAGAAAAUUUUUGCUUGGAUGGGUUCCUCAAGUCUGAGGUGCAGUGCAGAUGGCAAAGCAGCUGUGCUUUCUGGAGACCUCAUUUAUAUUUUCUGAUGGCUUGGACAGCUGUCAUACAGAAAAUAUAUCAGAAAACACUAGGACACUGCAAACUGUUUCUUUUAUAGCGUAAACCAUUCCACGAAUGUAGUAAAAAUGUGAUGAUAUCCAAGGUAAGCAGUUAAUAGAUUUGGGAGUCACAAAACAGAAUGAAAGAAGGAAGUUGAAUAAAACAACAAAGUUGGCAGGUUUUGUUUAGUGAGUAGCUGUCUCGGAUUUCUACUAAAGCUGUUAUUUCUGUCUCUCUGCAGACUUAGGUGACAAACACCGUGUAUAGUUUAUGCCACCCUGACUAGACUUCAGGGCAGGCCCUGUGCUGAUUCAUAUCUAGGAAGUUUUAUGAGAGAUUAAGUUUUAUGAGAGGGUCUAUUUUUAUUUCCUGAUAAGACAUAGGAAAAUUGAUGUGCUUGUGAGUGCUGUAGAGAUCAUAGAGCAAUAACAUUAAUUGACAUGGUUAUUAGGGGUUUUUGCUUGUUUCUUUGCUUUAUCAAAAUGUAUGUCUUAACAGAAUGUGCAUACCUUGCACAAAAAUAUCACAGAGUUAAUGGAAACUUAAUAGGAAAUGCUCCCACCAAAGACUGGCUGUAUCCAUUAACUGAACCUAAAGGAGUCUGUGCAGUUUUAAAAGUUGCACUCAAGUUGCAGCUGAAUCCUUCCUCAGGGUGAAUCAGCAUGAACUGAGCAGCUGGAAGGUUCCUCGAGAGAGUGCAUCAGCUAUGCUAAAAUUAAAAUAAAAUGUUCUUUCUCUGUCUGCACCAACACCGGUUCAUCCCAUACCAUGUGGCAUACAGUGCUAUGGAUAAGGUCUGUAUCUUAAGCUUAAGCUUAACAGAAUGAUGCAGCCAAAAUCACCAAAACACAUGGAAGGAGGGUAAGUAUGAGCAGGUGAACAAGCUGUGCUGUUGAUCCUGCUGUACAGUAGAGGUUUUAUGGAGGUAAAGCACAAAGCCAGUGUCGGACUUGAGCUAUUCAGUGGCUAUUUCCGACGUCAAAAUCCUCGCUUUCUUAUUUUUAGGCAAUAGGAAAAGUAGAAGAAUUUGUGAAGUCAUGAUGAAGCCCAAUAAAAGCUUUGAUAUGAUCUACUGUACAACUGAGCUUGAAUGUUAAUAUCUGGUGGCCUCACUCAAGAGGUCUUUGAUUCCAGUGCUUGUUCCAGCAAGCAUUCAAUAUGCAAAUUCUGCAAAUUAUGUGGAAAAUAUAAAUUAUGUAUAAUGUGUAAAAUAUGUAAACUAAACAACGCUUUUGCUGGAGAAAGGGCUUGUCAUCAAGAUUCCCUUGCCAAUUCAAUUGAUCUGAUCAUUAAGAACCAUUCUUUUUCAGGGUUAAAAUUAUUCAACUCAAAUCAUGACAGCUGCAGACUGGAAGCUUAAUUUCCAUUUCCUCCAGCAGGCUUGAGGUUACCAAGCUCAUCCCAGUGUGGCCUGGUUCAGCUAUAAGAUAGAAAGGACUAGAUAGAGGCCUGAAGCCAUGGUCAGAUAGAGCUGACUACUCUUCCCCCAGAGGGCAAAUUAACCCCUCCUGCUCCAUGCUCUAUGUGUCAGAAUCAGGAGAAAGGUAUGUGUACACCAGUUGAGUGCAACUGGUCCAUCAGCCUGUGUCUCUGUUACAUACAACCUGCCCAGCUGCACUCGUAAGAGCUCUGCUACAAGCACAUCACCAAGGCAGUCAGACUGAAUUCCACAGCAUGACUCAAGACCUGCUGGUUCCUUUUGCUUCCCUGUCAAGCUCACAGGAUCUGUUUCAAAUACCAGAUGAAAAUACCAGAUGAAAACUUUAGAGGUCUGCCAUUAAUAUUUUUUUCAUAAUACUUUAUUCAGGACACAGGAUUCUUUCUAGAUUUUCAAGGAUGCAAAACCUCUGACUACAGGCAUGCUAGUUCUCUCCAUGUCUUUUAUAAAAGAGACAAGUACAGUGUGAGGGCUUUUAUUCUUCUAGAAAUACACGGAGCUGACUGUUUACAGAAAUGAGCAGUAGAACAGAAGAAUAAUUUGACAGAUUAAAAGACAUUGUACACCGUGAGAAUUAUUAUUUUUUUAAGAAUAAACAAUGUGAUUAGGUGGAAAGAGAAUGAUGUGUUACUUGAUUUGAUGACGAAGAACAGAAAGAUAUUAUUGGCUCUUUGAGGCAGAAUUAUUAGAGAGAGAAAUAAAAAUGAAGAAUAAAAGAUUAGAGUCACAUCUUGUUUAUACAAAAAUCCCUCACAGUUUUUUCCAUAAACAAAUAUUGUACAAGUGGCAGAUUUAUAAAAAUAAAUGAAGUUUAAUUAAGAGAAUGCAUUAAUUAGGUUGUCCAAAAAGUGUCAAAUAGCUCAGUUAGCAAUAUUAAAAUCUCGUGAACAAACAUAUGUGCACUUAACUUUAUUUGGCCAUACAAAGAGUGAAGAAAUUGCCAAUUAAUAGAGUAGUAUUUCCAAGGGGAAAAUAAACUGUGAAGUAUAAAAUGAAGCAACAGUUGAUAGAAGAUCAAAUGGAAACUACUUUUCAAUUAUCUUCUGUAUGAAUUCAAAGUAGUAUAUUUUUCAAUUGUAGAAACAGCUGAAACAUUCAUAACAUGUUUCUUCCAGCUGUCAGAAUCAUGGCCUGGGUGACAUUUAGUUUAUAAUUGUUGUUUAGCAUUUGUCUUUCACACAGUAAAUGGCGAGUUAAUUCUUUUACCCUCUAAGUACAAAGGACAACCUGGAGCAAUGUCCAGAGCCCUUGUGCGUUUGUUUUGUUUUUCAUUUUGUUAUGCAGUCUAACAAAAAGGCUUAAAAAAAGAAAAAAAAAAAAAGGAAAAAGAGAAAAAGGUUUAUUUUGACAGUUCUUAUCUGGGGACAAAUGCAUUCCCAAGGAAACAGAUGUUUCUUUUCACUUCUGUGGGAUGGUAAUGGAGGUGACUAUGCAACCCGCUCAAUUUGCUUGGGUUAAAGGCCAGCAGCAGGCAGCUGUCUUCCCUUCUGCAAGGGGACAGGAAGGGACAUCGCAAGUAAAGAAGCACCAGCACCACACAUGCAGUAUGGCACCACACAGUGCUCUCAGCUCAAACAGCAGAGCUACAGGCACUACCUGGUUGAGAGAGUAAAGCCCAGGAUUCCAUUGUUCAGCAGCUAAAUGUAACUUUUUCCUUAGCAUCAUUAGUGUAUUCUUCGUAUCAUUUGCAUAGACGCUGUUAACACUGCAGAGGUAACUAUACUAAAAUAUGUUAUUGGCCUGGUUCUGUUUUUUUCUGCAAGCAAUCAGCACUGGAAACCUUGAAAGAAAUACUUCAGGGAAGCUCUAAGAGGAACAGCAAUAGACACUUCAAUCUCUCUUUAACUAACAUGGCAUGGCUUCAUCGCUGCUUGAUGAAGAUGUAAAGAAAGAAAAAGCCAAUGAUUUUUAUUUUCUAAUUGAAUAAAUUAUCUUUUCUAAUUUAAUAGAGUGGUCUUGUUAGCUACAAAAAUGCCUAACGCUUUAGAGUUUGCUGGCUUUCAUGUCUUUUUCCAUUUGUUUUAACCUAGUUAUCAUAAGCAGACAUGAAAUUUAACACCCCCUCAUUAAAAUAAAUGUAAUGUUGUGACAUAAACUGACAGAAGCAAGUAAGUCCCAAGACAGUGUUCUUCUCAACCUCCUCUCAAUACUGCCAAGAUACGAUAUAAAACACAAAUUUUCACUCACAGUAUUUAGAAGCAGCAGGGUUAACACAAAAAGAGGUCUAAAACUGUUAUUAUCCUGUUUUUAACCUGGAACUCCAUGGAUGACUAGCACAUGCUUCAGGAUACCUGCAGGGACAGCAGUGAUUGUGACUGGGGUGGCAGAGUGGCUCCCUUCAUUCCUCUGGGACAAAGGUCUCUGGCAGAGGUGGCAUUUUAAAAUGGCAGCAAAUUAACCUGACAACAAACAGACACCAAAACCAGAAGGAAAGCAGAAACAAAUUUACUUAUGAAUUUUUAAUCUCUUCGGUUACAUUUUACCUUGUUGAUAUUAUUACAUGGCUCUUUGAUAUACUUAAAAUGUACUAUACUUUUAAUAGUCAAAUGGAAAACUCUGCAAGAUUUUAUUUUCUGUUGUCUCAUUCCAUUGUGCCUCCCUUUACAAGAUAAAUGCACAGAUGAAUAGUGGAAAUAAAUUAUUAUUCUUUGACAAGAAGCCUCGUUAAACAUC